GCUAGUAAUCGUGGAUCAGAAUGCCACGGUGAAUACGUUCCCGGGCCUUGUACACACCGCCCGUCACACCAUGGGAGUGGGUUGCAAAAGAAGUAGGUAGCUUAACCUUCGGGAGGGCGCUUACCACUUUGUGAUUCAUGACUGGGGUGAAGUCGUAACAAGGUAACCGUAGGGGAACCUGCGGUUGGAUCACCUCCUUA
Molecule: ribosomal RNA, 200 nt
Filed under: Citrobacter freundii
Lineage: Bacteria; Pseudomonadati; Pseudomonadota; Gammaproteobacteria; Enterobacterales; Enterobacteriaceae
Also listed under: 15 other names
Description: partial 16S ribosomal RNA
Rfam family: Bacterial small subunit ribosomal RNA
Source: RNAcentral